This 675-nucleotide ribosomal RNA is filed under the name Alphaproteobacteria bacterium. RNAcentral's name for it is "bacterial SSU rRNA". It matches the Rfam family "Bacterial small subunit ribosomal RNA", at positions 28 to 735 of the family's 1533-position model. The record is from RNAcentral. Lineage: Bacteria; Pseudomonadati; Pseudomonadota; Alphaproteobacteria.
AACGAAUGCUGGCGGCAGGCCUAACACAUGCAAGUCGAACGAGAAACUUACCUUCGGGUGAGUGGAAAGUGGCAGACGGGUGAGUAACGCGUGGGAACCUACCAAAAGGUACGGGACAACCACUGGAAACGGUGGCUAAUACCGUAUGUGCCCCUUCGGGGGGAAAGAUUUAUCGCCUUUUGAUGGGCCCGCGUUGGAUUAGUUUGUUGGUGGGGUAACGGCCUACCAAGACUACGAUCUAUAGCUGUUCUGAGAGGAAGAUCAGCCACACUGGGACUGAGACACGGCCCAGACUCCUACGGGAGGCAGCAGUGGGGAAUCUUGCACAAUGGGCGAAAGCCUGAUGCAGCCAUGCCGCGUGAGUGAAGAAGGCCCUAGGGUUGUAAAGCUCUUUCGCUAGGGAAGAUAAUGACGGUACCUAGUAAAGAAGCCCCGGCUAACUCCGUGCCAGCAGCCGCGGUAAUACGGAGGGGGCUAGCAUUGUUCGGAAUUACUGGGCGUAAAGCGCGCGUAGGCGGAUUAACAAGUUGGGGGUGAAAUCCCGGAGCUCAACUCCGGAACUGCCUUCAAAACUGUUAGUCUAGAGUUCGAGAGAGGUGAGUGGAAUUCCUAGUGUAGAGGUGAAAUUCGUAGAUAUUAGGAAGAACACCAGUGGCGAAGGCGGCUCACUGGCUC